This is a non-coding RNA of Rhinichthys klamathensis goyatoka, 580 nucleotides long. Lineage: Eukaryota; Metazoa; Chordata; Actinopteri; Cypriniformes; Leuciscidae. The record is from the annotation of a RefSeq genome assembly.
AAAGUGAUCUCACCUGCAUUCUUCCAGAAGGUGGAGCUCUAAGAAUCAAUUGUAGUUCAGUCUCAGUUCAGAUUAAAAACAGAGCAGACAGACUUAUAUUGAGUCACUUAUACUCUAGGAGGAAACUGUAAGUCUUGGAUCUCAAAGUCAUUGUCUCUUAUUAGUGCAGAUGUUGCUCCUGGUAUUCAUUAUAUUUUCUCUUCUAAAAGAGAAUGCUGCUGCAGACGUGAUAACACCAUUCUUCACAGAUAUGCAGGUUUUGGAAGGAAAAGAUGUUACACUGAUCUGCAACUACACUGAAAGUGUUCGAAAUUUGCAGUGGUACCGUCAGUAUCCCGGAUCCAAACCUGAGAACAUAAUUUUGUUCUUUGAAGCCAGCCCUAAAUCAGAGCCCUCUCUCCGUCUGACCGCUGUAGCUGAUAAAGUCAUCAAACAUAUGAAUCUGACAAUCUCUUCUACAGAAGUCAAAGACUCUGCCAUGUACUAUUGUGCCCUGGAGCCCACAGUGACAGGAAACACAACUGCACCCUACAAAAACUGAGUGAGAAAUUAUAUUUAAGGCAGAAGAUCAUGAUGCACA